Molecule: ribosomal RNA, 419 nt
Filed under: bacterium
Lineage: Bacteria
Description: partial 16S ribosomal RNA
Rfam family: Bacterial small subunit ribosomal RNA
Source: RNAcentral
UGGGGGAUAUUGCACAAUGGGCGAAAGCCUGAUGCAGCGACGCCGCGUGGGGGAUGAAGGCCUUCGGGUUGUAAACUUCUUUUGCUCUGAACAAGGCAUGCUAAUGGGUGUGUUGAGUGUAGGGGUUGAUUAGCGCCGGCUAACUACGUGCCAGCAGCCGCGGUAAUACGUAGGGCGCGAGCGUUGUCCGGAAUUAUUGGGCGUAAAGGGCUUGUAGGUGGGUGGUUGCGUCUGUCGUGAAAGCUCAUGGCUUAACUGUGGGUUUGCGGUGGGUACGGGCUGGCUUGAGUGCAGUAGGGGAGGCUGGAAUUCCUGGUGUAGCGGUGGAAUGCGCAGAUAUCAGGAGGAAUACCGGUGGCGAAGGCGGGUCUCUGGGCUGUUACUGACACUGAGGAGCGAAAGCAUGGGGAGCGAACAGG